Molecule: ribosomal RNA, 497 nt
Filed under: uncultured bacterium
Lineage: Bacteria
Description: partial 16S ribosomal RNA
Rfam family: Bacterial small subunit ribosomal RNA
Source: RNAcentral
GAUGAACGCUGGCGGCGUGCCUAAUACAUGCAGGUCGAGCGAACAGACGAGGAGCUUGCUCCUCUGACGUUAGCGGCGGACGGGUGAGUAACACGUGGAUAACCUACCUAUAAGACUGGGAUAACUUCGGGAAACCGGAGCUAAUACCGGAUAAUAUAUUGAACCGCAUGGUUCAAUAGUGAAAGACGGUUUUGCUGUCACUUAUAGAUGGAUCCGCGCCGCAUUAGCUAGUUGGUAAGGUAACGGCUUACCAAGGCAACGAUGCGUAGCCGACCUGAGAGGGUGAUCGGCCACACUGGAACUGAGACACGGUCCAGACUCCUACGGGAGGCAGCAGUAGGGAAUCUUCCGCAAUGGGCGAAAGCCUGACGGAGCAACGCCGCGUGAAUGAUGAAGGUCUUCGGAUCGUAAAACUCUGUUAUUAGGGAAGAACAAAUGUGUAAGUAACUAUGCACGUCUUGACGGUACCUAAUCAGAAAGCCACGGCUAACUACGUG